GCCAGGCGUGGUGGCGCACGCCUGUAAUCCCAGCUACUUGGGAGGCUGAGGCAGGAGAAUUGCAUGAAUCCAGGAGAUGGAGGUUGCAGUGAGCCAAGAUCAUGCCACUGCACUCCAACCUGGGUGACAAAGCAAGACUCCAUCUCAA
Unclassified non-coding RNA from Papio anubis (olive baboon), 148 nucleotides. It matches the Rfam family "Metazoan signal recognition particle RNA". From Rfam's summary of the family: The signal recognition particle (SRP) is a universally conserved ribonucleoprotein. It is involved in the co-translational targeting of proteins to membranes. Lineage: Eukaryota; Metazoa; Chordata; Mammalia; Primates; Cercopithecidae. The record is from Ensembl.